AGCAGUAGCCACGGUAAUACGGAGGGUGCAAGCGUUAAUCGGAAUUACUGGGCGUAAAGCGUGCGUAGGCGGUUCGUUAAGUCUGUUGUGAAAGCCCCGGGCUCAACCUGGGAAUGGCAAUGGAUACUGGCGAGCUAGAGUGUGUCAGAGGAUGGUGGAAUUCCCGGUGUAGCGGUGAAAUGCGUAGAGAUCGGGAGGAACAUCAGUGGCGAAGGCGGCCAUCUGGGACAACACUGACGCUGAGGCACGAAAGCGUGGGGAGCAAACAGGAUUAGAUACCCCAGUAGUCCCUGUCUCUUAUAC
Molecule: ribosomal RNA, 303 nt
Filed under: uncultured bacterium
Lineage: Bacteria
Description: partial 16S ribosomal RNA
Rfam family: Bacterial small subunit ribosomal RNA
Source: RNAcentral